This 499-nucleotide ribosomal RNA is filed under the name uncultured bacterium. RNAcentral describes it as "bacterial SSU rRNA". It matches the Rfam family "Bacterial small subunit ribosomal RNA", at positions 8 to 527 of the family's 1533-position model. The record is from RNAcentral.
AGAGUUUGAUCAUGGCUCAGAUUGAACGCUGGCGGCAUGCCUUACACAUGCAAGUCGAACGGCAGCACGGGAGCAAUCCUGGUGGCGAGUGGCGAACGGGUGAGUAAUAUAUCGGAACGUGCCCAGUUGUGGGGGAUAGCCCGGCGAAAGCCGGAUUAAUACCGCAUACGACCUGAGGGUGAAAGCGGGGGAUCGCAAGACCUCUCACUAUUGGAGCGGCCGAUGUCGGAUUAGCUAGUUGGUGGGGUAAAAGCCUACCAAGGCUACGAUCCGUAGCUGGUCUGAGAGGACGACCAGCCACACUGGAACUGAGACACGGUCCAGACUCCUACGGGAGGCAGCAGUGGGGAAUUUUGGACAAUGGGCGCAAGCCUGAUCCAGCCAUGCCGCGUGGAUGAUGAAGGCCCUAGGGUUGUAAAGUCCUUUUAACGGGGAAGAUAAUGACGGUACCCGUAGAAUAAGCCCCGGCUAACUUCGUGCCAGCAGCCGCGGUAAUUCA